CGCCUUGCCAGCCCGCUCAGAAACUCAAAUGAAUUGACGGGGACCCGCACAAGCAGCGGAGCGUGUGGUUUAAUUCGUUGCUACACGAAGAACCUUACCUGGGUUUGACAUAUAGGUUGUAGGGAACUGAAAAGGGACCGACCCUUCGGGGAGCCUAUACAGGUGUUGCAUGGCUGUCGUCAGCUCGUGUCGUGAGAUGUUCGGUUAAGUCCGCUAACGAGCGCAACCCUCGUCGUAUGUUAUAUGUGUCAUACGAGACUGCCGGUAAAAAGCCGGAGGAAGGUGAGGAUGAUGUCAGGUCAGCAUGACCUUUAUAUCCAGGGCUACACACACGCUACAAUGGUCUGUACAAUGGGUAGCCAAGCCGCGAGGCGGAGCCAAUCCUGAAAGCAGGCCUCAGUUCAGAUUGCAGUCUGCAACUCGACUGCAUGAAGCCGGAGUUGCUAGUAACCGCAGGUCAGCAAUACUGCGGUGAAUACGUUCCCGGGUCUU
RNAcentral lists this ribosomal RNA (492 nucleotides) under uncultured Anaerolineaceae bacterium. RNAcentral's name for it is "bacterial SSU rRNA". It matches the Rfam family "Bacterial small subunit ribosomal RNA", at positions 903 to 1382 of the family's 1533-position model. Lineage: Bacteria; Bacillati; Chloroflexota; Anaerolineae; Anaerolineales; Anaerolineaceae. The record is from RNAcentral.